Molecule: transfer RNA, 82 nt
Filed under: Nanobdellota archaeon
Lineage: Archaea; Nanobdellati; Nanobdellota
Description: tRNA-Ser
Rfam family: tRNA
About the family: Transfer RNA (tRNA) molecules are approximately 80 nucleotides in length. Their secondary structure includes four short double-helical elements and three loops (D, anti-codon, and T loops).
Source: RNAcentral
GCCGAGGUCGCAUAGUCUGGUAUUGCGCAGGAUUGCUAAUCCUGUUCCUUUGGAAUCAUGGGUUCAAAUCCCAUCCUCGGCG